RNAcentral lists this ribosomal RNA (253 nucleotides) under uncultured bacterium. RNAcentral's name for it is "partial 16S ribosomal RNA". It matches the Rfam family "Bacterial small subunit ribosomal RNA", at positions 524 to 776 of the family's 1533-position model. The record is from RNAcentral.
UACGUAGGGGGCAAGCGUUGUCCGGAAUCAUUGGGCGUAAAGCGCGUGUAGGCGGUUCGGUAAGUCUGCUGUGAAAGUCCAGGGCUCAACCCUGGGAUGCCGGUGGAUACUGUCGGGCUAGAGUACGGAAGAGGCGAGUGGAAUUCCUGGUGUAGCGGUGAAAUGCGCAGAUAUCAGGAGGAACACCAAUGGCGAAGGCAGCUCGCUGGGACGGUACUGACGCUGAGACGCGAAAGCGUGGGGAGCAAACAGG